GUGCUUGCUUCGGCAGCACAUGUACUAAAAUUGGAACGAUACAGAGAAGAUUAGCAUGACCGCUGUGCAAGAUAUGAGUUACAUGAAUUAAAGGUGAUGCAUAUUUUU
Molecule: small nuclear RNA, 108 nt
Organism: Apodemus sylvaticus (European woodmouse)
Lineage: Eukaryota; Metazoa; Chordata; Mammalia; Rodentia; Muridae
Source: RefSeq, a predicted model, not a curated record